RNAcentral lists this microRNA precursor (56 nucleotides) under Macaca mulatta (Rhesus monkey). Its description in RNAcentral is "microRNA mml-mir-3938 precursor". Lineage: Eukaryota; Metazoa; Chordata; Mammalia; Primates; Cercopithecidae. The record is from miRBase by way of RNAcentral.
AGAUUAUCUACAAGGGAAUUUUUUUAAUUUUUAAAAUUCCCUUAUGGAUAAUCUGG